UACGUAGGUGGCAAGCGUUACUCGGAAUCACUAGGCGUAAAGCGCAGGUAGGUGGCUCAAUAAGUCUAUUGUGAAAGCUCCCGGCUUAACUGGGAGAGGUCAAUGGAUACUGUUGGGCUUGAGUGUGGUAGGGGAAGCUGGAAUUCCUGGUGUAGCGGUGAAAUGCGUAGAUAUCAGGAGGAACACCUAAGGCGAAAGCAGGCUUCUGGGCCAACACUGACACUGAGCUGCGAAAGCUAGGGGAGCAAACAGG
RNAcentral lists this ribosomal RNA (253 nucleotides) under uncultured bacterium. Its description in RNAcentral is "partial 16S ribosomal RNA". It matches the Rfam family "Bacterial small subunit ribosomal RNA", at positions 524 to 776 of the family's 1533-position model. The record is from RNAcentral.